This is a long non-coding RNA of Bactrocera dorsalis (oriental fruit fly), 12854 nucleotides long. RefSeq lists it as uncharacterized. Lineage: Eukaryota; Metazoa; Arthropoda; Insecta; Diptera; Tephritidae. The transcript is spliced from 2 exons. The record is from RefSeq and is a predicted model, not a curated record.
CUCUUGCAAGAAUCAAAGCUGGGAAAAUACUUUCAAGUGUUGGCAAAACUAUAUCUUAAACAAGUAUGGAGAAGUUAAGUUCGAAGCAACCUAAUAUUUUAUACUCUUGCAACUUUCAACAAUCAAAGCCGGGGAAAAAAUUCUUUUUGAAUUUUGAUAAUAAAUCUGACUGGUUCACCGCCAUUUUAAUUCACAUUUUCGUCAUCUGGGGGCUUGAAUAGUUUUGGUCUGACUUAGUCCAUUUUUGGCCAUUAUGUGACACACCUCACAGCUCUAUUCGUGCAAAGUUUUUUCCGGAUACAUUGAUUGGUGUUUAAUUUGCAUACUGGAAAGUGAAAGAAUUCGAUGGUUUUUAAAAUUGUGUUAAAUGAGAAGUAGGCGUUGUCGUAGAUAAUGCUAUCUACCGAAUGUGUUUCAAAUCGGUCGAGCAGGUCUCGAGAUAUAGGUCGGUGGCACGCUAAGUUUAACAACGGCUCCCAUUAAGCCUUAUCUUAUGAUCUUGGACGUAUAAUUUUAAUUUUCUAACUUAUUCGCUUAUUGUAUUUUAAGUGAUUUAGGAGAAAUAUACAUUCAAGAAUGAUAGAAUAUAAGAUUACGACGACCGCCAUUACGAAACGUCAUAGUUCCGUGUUGAGAAGAACAAGAGUGAAAAACUGUCAAAUGGCUUGCAAACAGAAAAGUAAACACUUUUGUAAAUUCGCAAAAUAUUAUUAAUUCUUUCGAUUUUAAUGAAAAGUUUUAGUGAAGCGAUUGAAUAUUGUUGAGUGAAAAGAUUUGAAUAAUUUCUAAAGAAAUAUAUCGGGCUAUUGAUAAUAAAAUUGUCUAUUAAGUUGUGAUUCAAAUGGAGAAGACGUUUCUUGUGUUGUAUAUAAAUAUAUAAAUAUGUAUAUUAUAAGUUCAGAUGUAUCAGAUGUAUGAAAUUAUGAUAAAAGAGGUUCAUAAUAUCUUCAUCUCUAAAGUGAUCUCUGCAUAUUAAAGAGGAUUUAGUAUUAAAUAUAUCAUUUCUUUUGCAAAAUAACACCCAUUUUUUGGCAACUUUUAAAUCGGCCGGAAAACUGAAAAAAUAGUUUUCGAUCCUUUAAUUGCAUAAUAAUUAUUACAACAAGGCACUGCACAUUUCAUUUUAAAAAAUUAAUAUAUUUAUGCUUAGAAAUUUAAAUAAAUACAGCAGUACACUUUCACUGGUUUUCUUCAUUUGAACAAUUUCCACACAUGCUACUCUAUUUAUUGUGGAUGUGCCUAAAACUACUUACAUACAUAUAUCUUUUCUCGCAACAAUAUUCUAAACAUUCCACUGAAAUUUUUCCUGCUAAGACGAAUGAAUUAAUAUUAUUUUGGGAAUUUCCAAAAGUGUUUACUUUUCUGUUUACAAUUUGUUUGCAUUUCUAUGCUUGUUCUUCUCAACGCAAAACUGUUACGUCACGAAAUUAUUGCACAAUGUAUUUGUUUUUGUAAGAAUUGUCACGAGCUAAACCGAAAAAAAAAACUAACGGUAAACUAGUGUCGUAAUCUUAUAUUCUAUCAUUCUUGAUGUACAUUAAACCUUUUAGGGUGCGUGGUCAACCCCAUUCUUUCAAAGUUUUGCUACUGUAAUCCCCUGCGCCAAAUUACAGUUUUAUAUCUUAAUUUGAAGUUCAGUUAUGGUACUUUAUAGACUUUCAUUUAAUGGCAAUUACGCUCAUCUACGAACUUGUUCUCAUUUUCUUGCUAAGGUACACGUGGAUGCACAGAUAGACAAUCCGACGGACAGACAGUCAGUCGGACUUCUAAUCGAUUCAUCCUGAUUAUUUACAUACAUAUAUACUAUAUAUUAUAUAUAUCUAUGUCGAUUAGUUCUAGUUGAUACAAACAGUCGUUAAGUGCACACACUAUUAUACCAUGUAGCAACAUUUUGCAUGAAUAUACACAUUUUAGGAACAUUUUCAACAUUAAUUAUUUGACAAAACAGUUAACCAAUGCACCAUAAAUCUGCCGCAGAACCUUUCUCUCGAAAACUCGCAACGUCGACUUAUCAGAUGUUGUCAUCGUCCAGGCCUCUGUACCAUACAACAUGACGGGAAUAAUGAGUGACUUAUAGAGUUUGGUUUUUGUUCUUCCAGAAAGAACUUUACUUCUCAAUUGCCUACUCAGUUCGAAGAAGCACCUGUUGACAAGAGAUAUCCUGCGUCGGAUUUCGAAGCUGACAUUAUUGUUGUUGUUGAUUCUGGUUCCAAGAUACACGAAAUUAUCUACUACUUCGAAGUUAUGACUGUCAACAGUGACUCCCCCUACGGGUAGGGGGGGAACCGAAUAUACCCGUGGUAAGGAAUGCCUGUCGUAAGAGGCGACUAAGAUCCUGGCCGCCAGUCCAGAGUUGUGUGGAGACUCAACUGGCAGUAACUUCGGUUAUGAGGUCUUACCAGAGACUUAAACCUGGUACCACGGGGAGCAGUAAUGCCCUUGGAGGUAAAACUCCAAUCUGCUCAUUGGGUUUGGCCCUUUGUGGAGAUUCGUGGUGGCUGUGGUUAAAACCCAAAUCGCGGGAAGAUCUGACUUUGUCAGUUCAAAUGUGGAGUUGCAUUGCAACCGGGUAUCGGACCCAAAGUACGGCAGAGAUUUUAGAUGGACCUCGAGCCCUACCAAGGUGGUUAGUGUGUCCAUGCCACACGCCGAUUGGUACUGGAAACCUGUCCCAGUUUUCAGGGCGCUGAUCAACGCAUUGUAUUGAUCCGUUGUGCUUCUGAGCACCGUGGAUUUAAACCUUCGCAGGUAGGAUCCCACGUAAAACACGAGACGUUGUUGUCAACAGUGACGUGGGAGCCUAGUCGCGAGUGCGACGACUGCUUGUUUUGUGACAGGAGAAAUUUCGUCUUGCCCUCGUUCACUACCAGACCCAUUGGCCUCGAUUCCUGAUCCAUUCUGGAGAAAACAUAACUAACGGCGCGGUUGUUGAGGCUAAUGAUAUCGAUAUCAUCGGCGUACGCCAGCAGUUGCAUAGUCUUAUAGAAGAUAAUACCUUCCCUAUUUAGUUCUGCAGCGCGAAUUAUUUUCUCCAAGAGAAGAGUGUUCUCUGCCCGAUCCACAAAACGAAGGACCCCACAAUCUGCACGAACUUCCGUAGGAUAAGCCUCCUCAACAUCGCAUUUAAAGUUUUAUCGAGGGUACUACGUGAAAGAUUAAAGUUCACCGUCAACAAACUGAUUGGUCUUUAUGAGUGUGGCUUUAGACCGACAUGAAAAAUCAAAAACUGACCAGAUAUUCACCGCGCGCCAAAUCUUGGAAACGAUCCGAGAAAAAAGGAUCGACACUCACCACCUCUUCAAAGCUGCUGUUGACUUACGAAAAGGAGCUGCCUUUAUGCCGCUAUGUCUGAAUUUGGUAUCCCUGCAAAACUAAUACUGAUAUGUAAACUGAAGUUAAGCAUUACCAAAAGCUCCGUUAGAAUCGGGAAGGACUCUUCAAGCCAUUUGAUACAAAAUGAGAUUUCAGAAAAGCCAACUCCCUAUCGUGCGACCUCGUCAUUCUGCUGCUAGAGAAAAUAAUUCGAGCUACAGAAUUUAAUUGAGCAGGUACAACCGUCUAUAAGAGUGUGCAGCUUCUGGCGUAUGCCAAUGAUAUUGAUAUCAUUGGCCUCAAGAGCCUCGCAGUUAGUUCCGAUUUAUCUAGGCUCCUACGUCGCGUUGACAUCCAUAACUUCGAAGUUGUAGAUAAUUUCAUCUCUCUUCGGACCAGCAUUAACACCAACAAUAAUGUCAGCCUCGAAAUCCAACGCAGAAUAUCUCUUGCCAACAGGUGCUAAAGUCCCGACGAACAAAAACCAAAGUCUAUAAAUCACUCAUUAUUCCCAUCCUGCUAUAUGGUGCAGAGGCGUGGACGAUGACAACAUCUGAUGAGUCGACGUUAUAAGUUUUCGAGAGAAAGGUUUUGCGAAAGAUUUGUCGUUUUUUGACGACGACAUUGACAUAGUCGCGGGUUGUUGUUAACUCGGCUAUAAUCGCGUAAGCGGUGUCUACGCCAGUAAAGAAGAAGGAGAACGUUUUAGUUAUUGAUUUCUUGCACUUUUAAUAGUUUUGAGCUAAACCUAGCUAUAAUAUUAUAAUAUAUAGAAUAGACCGAUUCCACCCAUCUGUAAUACCAAUCUGCUUGGGUGUCGAGGAACACGUGUACUAAGUUUCAAUACGAUACCUUAAUUUUUACUCAAGCUAUAGACAGACAGUUACUCGGAAUGUCAUUCUGAUCAUUUAUACGAGUAUAUAUGUAUAUAACUGUAUCCGAGAAGAAUUGCUCCGGAAAUCUAAGCCCGUUUAGAUCGUAUCGUCACUGGAGCAAUGCCUUGCAUUCGUAUCCUCCUCACUCGUGUUGGCAUUGAUUUCAACCCGGGUUUGGAGAAAUUCAUCUGUGAUGUUUGCGCCAAAAGGCUCCAUCCAAACUCCAACUCGGUCAGGUGUAAUAGAUGCAAUAUAUGCAGCCAUCUGAAGACUUGCUCAGUGAUCAGGCCUUAAGACACACAGGGAGUGGACCACGAGUUACAUGGUCCCAUGUCGCACUACUGCGACCUUAACAUCUACGGCUGUGCAACCUACACCACCUCCACCCGAGUGGCAAACAAAGCACCUCCACGAUUCAUAGGAGCUCAGAUAGGCAACAUGACUCCCAUUCUGAUCAGUCCCACACCUCUAACCUUCAUCCCGCUGCAAUCCUCAUGCGAGAACCACUCUGCAUCUCCUUGUUCCUCGCACAGUCUGUUUCGUGUGUCAGACCAUCAUACGUCGAAAUGUUACAUCUUUCAAGUGCAAUUCAUGUUCCGGCGUGAGUGGAGAGUGUCGUAUGUUGCCCCAUGCUGCAGGGGUCUGUCCAACAAAUCCCAAGAGUGGCAUCGCCCACUAACAUAACAGCGCGGCAACCGCCCCACCACCUACAUGCCAUUCCCUUACUUCCAGGAUCACCUACAGACACCCACGUCAAACUCGGAUCUUACAAUUUAAUUGCAACGAACUCCAGAGCAAGAUCGAAGAUAUAGUUGCAUUUAUGAUCCGGAAACGCGUAUCGAUAGCUGCGGUCUAAAAAACCAAGCUAAACAGCUUCUCAGAUCUUCUGAGGUGUGAAGGUUUCAACGUUGUACGUAAAGAUCGCGAGCGAGAUAACGGUGGAGGCCAAGUCUUCAUACUACACAACACCGUUCCAUAUCGUCUUAUCGAUGGCGAUAUCGGCCGCGGAGAUACUAUCCUAGAAUGUCAGGGUAUAGCUAUCCGGCCAGGCGUUGUCGAGAUAUUCAAUAUACAGAAACAUCCCUAAGUUACAUGUUGCCAUACAGUAGCGAAAUAUACGUGCGAGUUUUAGUUUGUUCGAGCGGAGGAAUAAAAAUGCCGACGAUGUUACUUCUGUGACAUUAUACUUUAUUCUGAUCCUUUUUUUCUGCUUAUAUAACUACUAAAGUGAUUGCAAUUUUCUUAAUCUGUUUCUUUGUUUUUUUAUUUUCUUAUGAAAUACAAUAUUUGUUAAAUGUAAUCUUAUUUUCUAUUGAAUGCAAACAAACAUGAUUGUGUGGUUUACCCGAUAAUGUCUGGGUUAUCAUUACAGUCAAUUGCAUUUUUUAUUAAAAUAGUUUCUUCAUCAAUUUGAAAAAUUUCUGUAAUGCUAUUUUUGAUAAGUUCACAAUUUAACAAGUAGAUGCAAUGUUUAGAAAUUUGUAGUUCAUUGAGUGUUUUUAGCUUCUUCGAAUUUAUAAGUGACAUUUUUGUAUUCAAAAACAUUUUCAAUUUCUGCUGUCAUUUCUUCUUUUUUCUAUUUGGUAUAGGAAUAAUAGUUUUUAAUUGUACCGAUUGAAAUUCUUUUGGGGUUUUGACCACGAACAUUAACAAAUUUUCUUUAUAUUCCAAGGCGCAUAAUUUAAUAUAUUGAAUAAUGUUUUCCUGAAUCUGGUUUACUGGGUCUUUGAGAAUGUUUAUCUUUAUUGUUUGUUCAUGAAGAAUCAAUAUUUUGUCUGUUCUCUCUUGAUACAUUAAAGAAUUCUUUCUUUCGUCUUCAAUAAUUUGUUUUAAUUUUGUGAACGUGUUCGAAAAGAAAUUAUUAUUUUUUUUUUUUGGUGGUUGAGAGCUGUAAUUGAAUUAUGUAAAUUUUCAUCUACUUUCUUAAUGUGAUUUUCAAUAUCUAUUCUAUCUCCAUCAUUCAUCGUUCCAAAUAGAAAUUUAUGUACAGAACCUAUACCGUUAAUUAAACCUCUCUUUUUUCUACUAACUUCUUUUCUUGGGAUUAAUGUUUUGGUUUUACCUCUCAAGUUUUCUAUUUCAUUAGAUAGGGUGUAGUAAUGUAGAUGUGAAUAUGUUUGCGAGAUUUUUGUUAUAUUAUUUAGUAUGUAAAGAAUUUCACGAGGGUCAAUUCUGUGAAUUACGAGGUCAGAUGAUGUAACAAUCUGUUUAGUGUUGGUGAUAAUUUCUGCGUAUCCAUUGUCGGUAUGUAUUUGAUGUACUUCCAGUUUGGCUGCAUUAUUAAUUAUUACAAUUGCUAUCAUCAAUGAUAUUUUGAAGAUGUAUUUGACCUAAAAAAUUUGUUUGGACGUUUAAUAUUUGUCAGGUGAAUAUUAUCUAAUGGCGAUUUUCUAUACCUUGGUUCGUAUUUGUGCCGAACCGCUUUAUAAUUUUUUACGUAACCUUCUUUUUGAGUGUUAUUAAACUCUUCUCUAUUUCUAUUUAGUUUUCUUAUGCAUUUUUCUUUAGUCUUCUGAAUAGUGUCUUUAAUCAAAUUUUUAUCAGUUUUUUCCAUUUAUAACCUCAAGAGGUGUGGUUUUAAUUGUAGAAUGAUAAGAUUUGUUAUACCAUUCUAUGCUUUGAAAUACUUUAUCCGCUGUCGAAAGGCUUGGUUUUUCAAUUUCUAGGACUCUAAUUCUUUCGGAGAGAGUAUUAUGAAAUCUUUCGAUAUCUGAAUUCCCAGUAUGACUGUUUGGUUUUAUAAAAUGAACUUCUAUUUAUUCUUUCCUAAAAAAAUCUUUAUGUUAAUUGAGUUGAAUUCAUUAUCUAAUAUUAACUUUCUGGGUCUUCCUUUGAUAGAAAAGAAUAAUCUAAGCUUUUCUAUAAUAGUUAUACUGUUUCUAUCUUCUAGCUGAAAUGCCAUAGCAAAUUUCGCAAAUUUGUCUAUAAAAGUAACGAAGUAACAUUUUUUAUUUAUGUACCCGUAUAUAUCUGCGUGAACUAUUUCAUUUAUAUCUGAUGGUGUUUUCGUUAAUUGAAAUUUUGGUUUUAAAUCAUAUUUUGCUCUAUUGCAUCGCAAUUAUUUAUAUAUUUUUGAAUCAAAACUUUCAAAUUUUUCCAGUAUAUUAGUUUUUUCAAUUUUUCAUAAUUUUCAUUAAUACCUGCAUGGCCUGUUUCAUUUUUAUGAUAUUGAGCAAUUUGUUUAUAAACUUGUUCUUCAUUUUUCAUAUCUUUAGCAUGGAAUUCACAUCUAAAAAAGUUUACCUGUCUAUUAAAUAUUUGAAUGAGCUUUUGCUGAACUAUAUUGUACUGAUUAUCGGUUAAAUAAGAAAAAAUACCUACUUUUCCCCUAUUUAUGUGCCUACGACAAAGAUCUAUGAAAUUAUUAUUUUUUAUAUCUUUUGCGCUAAUAAAAAUUUUCUUCGUGUUGCCUAGUUCUUCAGAUUCCAUAAUUUUCUUUUUUUGUUAAAAUGAUUUGUGUAUUGAAGCGAUUUACAAUAGUAUGUAAAAUUGGAAAAUAAUCAUUUAGUUCCUCCUCUUGAGAGUGGAUUGUAGCAUUUGUGCUUAUGUUGUCUUCUUCCAAUGAAUGAAUCUCGCCUGUGUUACUAUGUAUCUAUUCGACUUAGAAAAUCGGCUACGUCAUUUUCCUUUCCUUUCACGUAUUUUAUAUUAAUAUUGUAUUCACCUAGUUUAAUUAACCAUCUUUGCCAUCUUGGGUUAAUGUCUUUUCCCUUGUUUUUUAUUUGGAGCCACUUAAGUGGUUGGUGAUCGGUUAAGAGAUCAAAUGCUCUGCCGUAAAUGUAUGGUCUAUAAUAUGUCACUGCCCAGACAAUAGCUAGUAGUUCUUUUUCUGUAGUGGAAUAACUUCUUUCGUGUUUGUUAAGUGUUCGAUUAGCAUAGCUUAUAGGAUGACUGUCCUGGGUUAAUACUGCGCCAAUUGCAAAGUCACUUGCAUCAGUUGAAAUGCCAAAUUUUUUGUUAAAGUCUGGAUAUUUCAGUAUUGGUGGAUAUGUACUGGGUUCAAAGGAUGAUAUGUACUGAGGAUCGCGAGUGUUUAUUUUAAUAUCCUUUUUUAAAUAUUUUGUUAAACCAUGUGCUACUUUAGCGUAAUCUCUUACAAAUUUUCUAUAAUAACCUGUUAUACCUAGGAAUGAUUUAAUUUGCUUUGAUGUAGUAGGCAACUUUAGUUUUUGUAUGUUUUCGAUUUUGCUUAAAUUUGGUUGUAUCCCUUCUGUUGUUAAAGUGUGACCAAGAAAUUCAGUUGUUUUCGCCAAAAAUUUGCAUUUAUCUACCUGAAUCUUUAAAUUAUGUUUUCUUAAUGCUGAAAAUAUUUUGUUGAUAUUUUGGGCAUGCUCUUCAAUACUUGAACUACUUGAAAAUUAAGAUGUCGUCUAAAUAAACUAUACAUAUCUUGUUGAUAUAUUCCCUAAGAACUGAAUUAAUUAAACGUUGGAAAGUUGCUGGUGCAUUCUUUAGUCAGAAAUGCAUUCUUAUAAAUUCAAAGUGUCCUUGGGGUGUAGAGAAAGCUGUUUUUGGUCUAUCUUCUUUUAUUAAAGAUUGCAAGAUCUAAUGUUGUAAAAUACUGAGCUCUUCCAAGUUUGCUGAGUAUUGUUUCUAUAUGGGGUAUUGGAAAUUUGUCAUCUAUAGUGACUUCGUUUAGCUUCCUGUGGUCAAUAACUAUUCUCCAUUUUUUCUUAAUUGAAUUGUCUUGCUUUUUCGGUACAAUCCAAAGAGGCGAGUUUACGGGGAAUCAGUUUCUUUAAUUAUACCUUGGCGCAACAUCUCGUUCAUCUGUCUACUAAUUUCUUCUUCAUGAAUUUGGGGAUAUCUAUAAAUUUUAUUAUAAGUUGGUCUACUUGUUUUUGUAACAAUUUCAUGCUGAAUUUCAUGAGUAUGAGAAAGGUUUUUACCUUCUUGGAAAAAUUAAUAGCUAUUUGCUUUUAGAAUGUAUUCUAAUUGUUGCUUUUCUUCUUCAUUCAUGUCACUAUUUGAUAAAAUAUCUAGCAAAUGCUCUUUACAUUCUGUAAGUAUAUUAAUAUCUUCGUAACUGUAAGGGCAUGAGUUUAUAAAUUUAAUUUUGUUACCGUUUAUUUCUACAUACUCCUUUUCUAAAUUAAUAAACAUAAGGUUUUAAAAUAUUCUGUCCUAUUAUAGCAUAAAAGUUAUUAUUUUUUAUGUUGGUUAGUUUCCAAUGUAUAUAACUUUUUUCAUUGAAUUCGUUUGGGGUUGGGGUGACUAACUCUUUAUUUAGGGAAACAUUUUCCUUAAUGGUGCUAAAGUGUAUUGGUUUAUCAAGCUCAAUGCAUUCAUAAUCUUUUAACACAUUAUGGGCCCUAUUAUGAGUUGCAUUCGAUCUUCGACAACGAUCGAAAAUGCUGGUCGAACGAAUUUGCAUUUGGUAUUACGACGCUCAUUCGUUGAAGAUUAGCGUUAUUGUGAAUUGCAAUCAUUUUGAAUGUUCACGAUAGCAUACAUCUGUCAGAUAAAACUAACAAAUAUUUUAUAAAUAAAGAAAAUAUAAAUAUAAGUUAAAAUAAAAUAUGACUAGGUCUGAGUUGUGGUUUGCCGAUUCUUCAGAGGAGGAUGAAAGCUUACUGGAAUUGGCUAGAAAUAGAAAGAAGCUAAGGGACGCUUCCAAUCCUUUGGAAUUGGAUUCCGCUACAUUUAUAAAAAACUUCCGUUUGUCGAAAAAGGCGUUUGUUGAUUUGCUGUCCGCUACAGAGGAGAUGCUGCAGCGAUGCACACGAGCGAAAUCUAUUCCCAAUAUACUAAAAUUGGCAACAGCUUUACGAUUUUGUGCUCAGGGAUCGUAUCAACUUAGUAUAGGGAAUGAAAACAUGCUUGGACUUGCACAGCCCACGGUGUCUGUGGUACUAUCUGAGGUACUCGAUGCCCUGGAGAAUUUCAUUUGCCAAAGAUGGAUAAAAUUCAAUUAUACCGAGGCUGAAAUGCAAGAAGCAAAAUCACAUUUUUAUAGUAAUACCAGAUUUUCUGGGGACUUUCGGCCUGCAUAAAAUUAACAAAAAUAGUAUAAAUUAAUUAUUUGUUACCAUAAAGCAAUAAAUAAACGCAAAAAACCUACAUUUUCACAAAUUUCCAUUCACUACGCUACGCUGUCGAUAGGUAAAUUCUGUUCGACAGCCAUUUCGAUGCUCAACGAAAAUUUCGACAGGGUUGCAUAGCUCAUAAUACGAAUUUGACAUUCGAUUUUCGAUAGCCAGCGAAUAGCGAAGAUCGAAUGCAACUCAUAAUAGGGCCUAUAUUUCAAUAAUGAUGUUGUAGACCCUGUGUCAAUAAGACAUUUAAUUUUUGAAUUUUUUAUGGUCACUUCUAUUAUCGGUAACGAUUGUUUUGGGCUGGCAACCGAAAAUUUGCUUGUUCUUGAACGUGAUCUAUUUCCAUCGGUUCGGGGGGUUUUGUCUCCUUUGGACUGAAUUAUAUCUUCUAGAUUGUUGAGAAUUAUUUUGCCUAUUUUGUCCAAAGCUAAAUUGUUGAUAAUAGUCAUUUUGGUUAGAAUUGUUACGAAAUUAUCUCCGCUGAUUUUGUCCAAAUUGAAAAUUAUUGGAAUUUUGCAUAUACUGUUUAUUAUUGAAAUUGCCAAAAUUUUGAGCCAAAGAAUGAUAAUUGUUUUGUCUUUUAUCAAAUUGUAUUAGCAAACCUGUCUCUUGAAGAACGCUAAAAGCCUCUCUAAUGGUGCUUAUAUUUCUACUAAUCACUCAUUGCUUAAGUUGGGGUGUAUCCCAUUUAAAAAUGUUUUUAGAAUUAAACUUUCGUUGUUAAUUGGAGAAAAUUCUAUAGGCUUUAUCCUAUCGAAUACAUGUUUUAAAUUUAGUUUAUCUAAAAUAUCUUUUAAAUUUUGAAAAUAUUGACUUACGUUAUAGUUUCGUAGUACAAUCGCCUGAUUGUAUAGGGUGUGGUACGACUCCUUUACUCCAAAAUUCUUUAUGAGUUCUUCUCUCAUUUGCUGCCAUGUUGGUGUAGGUCCCAAAGGCCGGAUGACACUUGCUGCUUCUCCUUUAAUUUUUGUUUUGACGUGUCGCUGCGUUGCAAAUUCCAACAUUGAUGGGUUGGGGUUGAAUAAAGGAAGGAUCAUGUCAACUUCCCUGAUGAACGAUGAUAAAUCUCUGCCGUCAAAGUCCAUGAUUCUUGAAGCUUCCUUCAAAAUUUGCGAUCCUGUCAUCUGAAGUGGUUGCUGCUCGCCUGGAUUCAUUGCUAAUAUAUCCUCUUUUAAUACAACUGAACUUGUUGUUGUUGCUUUGUAUGGUGCACUUCGCUCUCUCUGCGUCUUCUGUGUGUGGGGCAUUAAUCUUUAAUCCCACUUUUCCUGGUAAUGUUGAUGGGCGGAAUGAAGCUAUUCUUCGCCUUCACAAAUUGUAAUCCUCGGAGUCGCUCUCCGACGUUCCAGAUAACUUGUGUAGAAACUUAAGUUUCUUAAACUUGGCUAUCUGUGCCGACCGACUUAUAUAUUUAUAUAUAUAUAAGAGAUCUUUAAAAUGGGAGCUAAUCUUAGGAUUUGCUUCCCGUUGCUAAAUCUUACGAAACUUAAAAAACUUCAGUUUUUAGUAUCGCUCAACUUUGCAGUUUGUUUUUACCGACUGCGCCAGUUUUAGUUGUUCGAGCGGAGGAAUAAAAAUGCCGACGAUGUUACUUCUGUGACAUUAUACUUUAUUCUGAUCCUUUUUCAAAUUAUGUUCUGCUUAUAUAACUACUAAAGUGAUUACAAUUUUCUUAACCUAUUCCUUUGUUUUUUUUUUUAUUUUCUUAUAAAAUACAAUAUUUGUUAAAUGUAAUCUUAUUUUCUAUUGAAUGCAAACAAACAUGAUUGUGUGGUUUACCCGAUAAUGUCUGGGUUAUCAUUACAGUCAAACAUAAGGACCAAAACAUGUUUGUAUGUAUUUGCAUUAUGUUCUUUAUCUCUACUUGUUACCUUAUUUUUUGUAAUGUUUACUUAUUUUUCUUUAAUCUUUUAUUUUAUCCAAUUUACAAUAUUUUGUUGUAUGGUGUCUGGUUGGGAUGACAGUGUACACAUAGCUUGCGCUACUUUUGGGGAAAGCAGUUUACUACUAGGCUAAUUUAACGCGCCUCACGAUCUUUGGCAAUCCUGUCUGUCAAAUGAUCGUAAGGGAAUGGAGCUGGCGGAACAGAUUGACGAUUCGACAUUCUGCACAAUGAAUGACGAAGCCCCACCAAAGUUAUGCGCACCUGUAAUAGCUCGCCCGAUAUUACCAUUGCUAGUGGUGGUCUGAUAAAUAGCAUAACCUGGCGACCUAUGCUAACUCUCGAAUCAGACCAUCUGCCCAUACAUCCUUAUGCUAAAGCAUCUAGGCUCGACGGGAGUAAGCUAUCUUACCAAGGUCCUCAACCUGUCGCUGACCAUUAUUCAAAUACACGAUGUGUGGAAAGUCGGAAGAGUGGUCCCACUACUGAAACCUGGGAAACCCGCCAACAAAGGGGUGUCCUAUAGUCUGAUAACUCUCCUCUCCUCAGUAGUGAAGACAGUUGAGGUCUUGCUACUCCUGACCUUCAUUCACCACCUGAGUCUAGCCUACCACGAGCAUGGAUUCCAAAAAGUGCACAGCACCAUCACAGCCCGUAGCGUCAUAAACGCUCAGAUAGUUCGUGGCCUCAACCAGAAAUCACCCGGUGAGAGAACGAUCCUCAUAGCGUUGGACUUGUCAAAAGCUUUUG